Molecule: unclassified non-coding RNA, 365 nt
Filed under: Hevea brasiliensis (rubber tree)
Lineage: Eukaryota; Viridiplantae; Streptophyta; Magnoliopsida; Malpighiales; Euphorbiaceae
Source: RNAcentral
CUUCGUCGCAGAACACCAGAAGGCGCUGCCCGUCGCGCGCGCCAAGCCAGCGCUCGAGCGGUUCGGGAUCGUGCACCUCGGCGAGACUGAGAAUGCCGCACUGUUCGGCGGCUUCGAUGACAUUGGCGCGCAUCCGCUCGACAUUGACGCGGCUGGCCUGCGUAAACCGGGUUGCCACCGGCCGCAGCGCUGAAACCCCCAUUUCAAUGGCUUUCUGCACCAUGUAGUCGAGCCGUGCGUGCUUCAGCGGGGCGAACACGUAAUGCAGAUCGGGCAGGCCGUCCUGUGGCCGGGUCUGGCUGACGAUCUCCGCGCGGUCCGGCCGUUUGCGGCCUGCGAGAGUAGCCUGCCACUCGCCGUCGCGG